RNAcentral lists this ribosomal RNA (497 nucleotides) under uncultured bacterium. RNAcentral describes it as "partial 16S ribosomal RNA". It matches the Rfam family "Bacterial small subunit ribosomal RNA", at positions 28 to 507 of the family's 1533-position model. The record is from RNAcentral.
GAUGAACGCUGGCGGCGUGCCUAAUACAUGCAAGUCGAGCGAACGGACGAGAAGCUUGCUUCUCUGAUGUUAGCGGCGGACGGGUGAGUAACACGUGGAUAACCUACCUAUAAGACUGGGAUAACUUCGGGAAACCGGAGCUAAUACCGGAUAAUAUUUUGAACCGCAUGGUUCAAAAGUGAAAGACGGUCUUGCUGUCACUUAUAGAUGGAUCCGCGCUGCAUUAGCUAGUUGGUAAGGUAACGGCUUACCAAGGCAACGAUGCAUAGCCGACCUGAGAGGGUGAUCGGCCACACUGGAACUGAGACACGGUCCAGACUCCUACGGGAGGCAGCAGUAGGGAAUCUUCCGCAAAGGGCGAAAGUCUGACGGAGCAACGCCGCGUGAGUGAUGAAGGUCUUCGGAUCGUAAAACUCUGUUAUUAGGGAAGAACAUAUGUGUAAGUAACUGUGCACAUCUUGACGGUACCUAAUCAGAAAGCCACGGCUAACUACGUG